Molecule: ribosomal RNA, 1287 nt
Filed under: metagenome
Description: bacterial SSU rRNA
Rfam family: Bacterial small subunit ribosomal RNA
Source: RNAcentral
UAGCUCGUUGGUGAGGUAAAAGCUCACCAAGGCGACGAUCUGUAGCGGGUCUGAGAGGAUGAUCCGCCACACUGGAACUGAGACACGGUCCAGACUCCUACGGGAGGCAGCAGUGGGGAAUUUUGGACAAUGGGGGCAACCCUGAUCCAGCCAUGCCGCGUGAGUGAAGAAGGCCUUCGGGUUGUAAAGCUCUUUCAGCCGGGAAGAAAACGCAUGGGUUAAUACCCUGUGUGGAUGACGGUACCGGAAUAAGAAGCACCGGCUAACUACGUGCCAGCAGCCGCGGUAAUACGUAGGGUGCGAGCGUUAAUCGGAAUUACUGGGCGUAAAGCGUGCGCAGGCGGUUUUGUAAGACAGGCGUGAAAUCCCCGGGCUUAACCUGGGAACUGCGUUUGUGACUGCAAGGCUAGAGUACGGCAGAGGGGGGUGGAAUUCCACGUGUAGCAGUGAAAUGCGUAGAGAUGUGGAGGAACACCAAUGGCGAAGGCAGCCCCCUGGGUCGAUACUGACGCUCAUGCACGAAAGCGUGGGUAGCAAACAGGAUUAGAUACCCUGGUAGUCCACGCCCUAAACGAUGUCAACUAGGUGUUGGGAGGGUAAAACCUUUUAGUACCGGAGCUAACGCGUGAAGUUGACCGCCUGGGGAGUACGGCCGCAAGGUUAAAACUCAAAGGAAUUGACGGGGACUCGCACAAGCGGUGGAUGAUGUGGAUUAAUUCGAUGCAACGCGAAAAACCUUACCUACCCUUGGCAUGCCAAGAACUUUCCAGAGAUGGAUUGGUGCCCGAAAGGGAACUUGGACACAGGUGCUGCAUGGCUGUCGUCAGCUCGUGUCGUGAGAUGUUGGGUUAAGUCCCGCAACGAGCGCAACCCUUGUCGUUAAUUGCCAUCAUUUAGUUGGGCACUUUAACGAGACUGCCGGUGACAAACCGGAGGAAGGUGGGGAUGACGUCAAGUCCUCAUGGCCCUUAUGGGUAGGGCUUCACACGUCAUACAAUGGUCGGUACAAAGGGUCGCCAAGCCGCGAGGUGGAGCCAAUCCCAGAAAGCCGAUCGUAGUCCGGAUCGCAGUCUGCAACUCGACUGCGUGAAGUCGGAAUCGCUAGUAAUCGUGGAUCAGAAUGUCACGGUGAAUACGUUCCCGGGUCUUGUACACACCGCCCGUCACACCAUGGGAGCGGGUUCCGCCAGAAGUAGGUAGCCUAACCGCAAGGAGGGCACUUACCACGGCGGGGUUCGUGACUGGGGUGAAGUCGUAACAAGGUAGCCGUAGGGGAACCUGCGGCUG